Molecule: ribosomal RNA, 633 nt
Filed under: Pantoea agglomerans
Lineage: Bacteria; Pseudomonadati; Pseudomonadota; Gammaproteobacteria; Enterobacterales; Erwiniaceae
Description: bacterial SSU rRNA
Rfam family: Bacterial small subunit ribosomal RNA
Source: RNAcentral
AUGGCUCAGAUUGAACGCUGGCGGCAGGCCUAACACAUGCAAGUCGAACGGUAGCACAGAGAGCUUGCUCUCGGGUGACGAGUGGCGGACGGGUGAGUAAUGUCUGGGAAACUGCCUGAUGGAGGGGGAUAACUACUGGAAACGGUAGCUAAUACCGCAUAACGUCGCAAGACCAAAGAGGGGGACCUUCGGGCCUCUUGCCAUCAGAUGUGCCCAGAUGGGAUUAGCUAGUAGGUGGGGUAACGGCUCACCUAGGCGACGAUCCCUAGCUGGUCUGAGAGGAUGACCAGCCACACUGGAACUGAGACACGGUCCAGACUCCUACGGGAGGCAGCAGUGGGGAAUAUUGCACAAUGGGCGCAAGCCUGAUGCAGCCAUGCCGCGUGUAUGAAGAAGGCCUUCGGGUUGUAAAGUACUUUCAGCGGGGAGGAAGGUGUUGUGGUUAAUAACCGCAGCAAUUGACGUUACCCGCAGAAGAAGCACCGGCUAACUCCGUGCCAGCAGCCGCGGUAAUACGGAGGGUGCAAGCGUUAAUCGGAAUUACUGGGCGUAAAGCGCACGCAGGCGGUCUGUCAAGUCGGAUGUGAAAUCCCCGGGCUCAACCUGGGAACUGCAUUCGAAACUGGCAGGCUA